AUUGAACGCUGGCGGCAGGCCUAACACAUGCAAGUCGAGCGAGCGGCGGACGGGUGCGUAAUGUAUGGGGACUGCCCGAUAGAGGGGGAUAAAUACUGGAAAAGGUAUCUAAUACCGCCUACUAUAGGAUACCCCAUAUGGGAUUAGCUAGUAGGUGAGGUAAUGGUUCACCUAGUCGACGAUCCCUAGCUGGUCUGAGAGGAUGAUCAGCCACACUGGGACUGAGACACGGCCCAGACGCCUACGGAGGCAGCAGGGGGGAAUAUUUCACAAUGGGCGCAAGCCUGAGGCAGCCAUGCCGCGUGUAUGAAGAAGGCCUUAGGGUGGUAAAGUACUUUCAGUAGGGAGGCGUUACCGACAGAAGAAGCACCGGCUAACUCCGUGCCAGCAGCCGCGGUAAUAC
RNAcentral lists this ribosomal RNA (403 nucleotides) under uncultured bacterium. Its description in RNAcentral is "partial 16S ribosomal RNA". It matches the Rfam family "Bacterial small subunit ribosomal RNA", at positions 30 to 526 of the family's 1533-position model. The record is from RNAcentral.